CUUCUCCUUUGCUUUAUGCACAGUGAGGAAGGAUGGAAACUGCCUGUGGGACUGUAUAGGAGACCCUCGUUUAACGUUGAUUAAAAAAUCUCCUAUGUCAUCUUAACUCUGCUUAUUAAGACCUGAAGAAUAUCAGCUCUCUCCUACCAGGAUUCUUACAAAAUGGGAAUUUGUUAUUCCUGCUUAAAGGUACGUGCUCAGAGUGGAUGUGUUCAGUAAUGCUGGCAGUGAAUGGGCCAGAAAUAAGGCAGGGGAUUUGGGGGUAAACCCGUGGAAUUAAUUUUACUUCAGUUAUUUUGGUUUCAUUUGCAGAAGCUGGGAAGUUGGCCCUUUUCGCUUGAGUACUGAGUUUCAGCAAAUUAAUUCAGAAGCCACCACAACCCAGAACACUUCAUCUCCUACUCUUCCCAGCCUAAUUCUCAAAUUCCUGAUUGAAUGCCGCUUUCUUGUGAAUUUCUGGCUUUGGUCUCCUGUUACACACUCAGAAUUAGCGGUGAAAACGUGGAUCCCAGUGAUUUCCAACAUACUUUUUUACACCACUGAAAUGCUAGAAGUGACUCUUGGACAAGAGGGCCAAAUCCCUGCCCUCAAUACAGCAAUAGCAUUUGGGGUGCCUCGACCAGACUCUCAUCGGCCAUUUGCCUUCAUAAAGGGUGUGUGUUUGUCAAUCUCAAAAGCUGCUGCAUCUCCUACAGCAUCAUCCAACGAUGCCAGGAAAACGGGAAAGAAGUCAAUGGAUCUCUGCCAAGAAAAACCAGAGGAGCCACCAAGUGCCGCCUGUGUCAGCUCCUGCCCCGACCCUCUGCUCCCCUGCCUGUCCCAGAUUUCUCCUGAGUGCCCAGGUCCAUCCGUGCCCUUGCUCCUUUUGAUGGCUCUGAGAGGACGAUGGUUUCAGGUGAUAGUUUCAACGAAGUGAGCACGUUUUCCAGUUUCAAUGAGAUUUAACCCGACUGCUAAAGUUCUGGUAAGUGGUUCCUCAGUUUUGGGGUAAGCGCCGUUCUCCAGUUUCACUGGUGGUGUGUAGAAGUUUAUGGGUUCAUUGUAGACCAGU
This 1051-nucleotide long non-coding RNA is filed under the name Calidris pugnax (ruff). RNAcentral describes it as "lncRNA (ENSCPUG00000009760.1)". The record is from RNAcentral. Lineage: Eukaryota; Metazoa; Chordata; Aves; Charadriiformes; Scolopacidae.